AGGUCAAGCAAUAAGGGCACAGGGCGGAUGCCUUGGCACUAAGAGCCGAUGAAAGACGUGAUAAGCUGCGAAAAGCUUCGGGGAGGAGCAAAUAUCCCGUGAUCCGGAGAUGUCUGAAUGGGGAAACCCGCAUGAGCAGACCUCAUGCAUCCAUACGCCAAUCCAUAACGUAUGGAAGGGAACCCGGGGAACUGAAACAUCUAAGUACCCGGAGGAAAAGAAAGAAACAUCGAUUCCGUAAGUAGCGGCGAGCGAACGCGGAGGAGCCUAAACCGGUGUGCGUGCAUGCCGGGGUCAUGGACUGCAUUUAAGAUUCAGCGAAGUUAACAGAACGGUUUUGGGAAAGCCGGCCGGAGAGGGUGAAAGCCCCGUACGUGAAAGCAGAGCUGACUGAGCAGGAUCCGGAGUACCACGAGACACGAGGAACCUUGUGGGAAGUAAGGGGGACCACCCCCUAAGGCUAAAUACUACUUAGUGACCGAUAGCGCAUAGUACUGUGAAGGAAAGGUGAAAAGGACCCCGGGAGGGGAGUGAAAGAGAACCUGAAACCCUGUGUCUACAAGCUGUGGAAGUACUUUAUAUGUACGACCGCGUACUUUUUGUAGAACGGUCCGGCGAGUUACGCUUACUGGCAAGGUUAAGCACUUCAGGUGUGGAGCCGUAGGGAAACCAAGUCUUAAUAGGGCCAGAGUCAGUAGGAGUAGACCCGAAACCGGGUGAUCUAUCCAUGUCCAGGUUGAAGCUGCCGUAAGAGGUAGUGGAGGACCGAACCCACAUCCGUUGAAAAGGGUGGGGAUGAGGUGUGGAUAGGGGAGAAAUUCCAAUCGAACCCGGAGAUAGCUGGUUCUCCUCGAAAUAGCUUUAGGGCUAGCCUCGGUGUGAGUCUUGCGGAGGUAGAGCACUGAAUUUCCUAGGGGGCGUCAAAGCCUACCGAAGAAUAUCAAACUCCGAAUGCCGUGUAGAUAUCACCGGGAGUCAGACUGCACGAGAUAAGUUGGGCGGUCAAAAGGGAAAGAGCCCAGACCUACAGUUAAGGUCCCAAAGUGCGCGUUAAGUGGAAAAGGAUGUGGGAUUUCGAAGACAACCAGGAUGUUGGCUCAGAAGCAGCCAUACAUUCAAAGAGUGCGUAAUAGCUCACUGGUCGAGAGGUCCUGCGCCGAAAAUGUCCGGGGCUGAAACGCGCCACCGAAACUAAGGAAUCUGAAAAGAUUGGUAGAGGAGCAUUGCAUGCGGGAAGAAGCAGUACCGGAAGGAGCUGUGGACUGCAUGGAAGAGAGAAUGCCGGAAUGAGUAGCGAGAUAGAGGUGGGAAUCCUCUAGGCCGAAUAUCCAAGGUUUCCAGGGUAAAGCUGAUCUGCCCUGGGUGAGUCGGGACCUAAGGUGAGGGCGAGAGCCGUAGCCGAUGGACAACAGGUUGAUAUUCCUGUACUGCAGUAUGACAGAACUGUGGGGACACGUAAGGAGAGCGGGAGCCGGGAAUGGAAAGCCCGGUACAAGCGAGGUACCAGUCACAUAGGAAAAUCCGUGUGGCAAUGGGAAGACGUGAUGUGGAGCGAAGAUUAGUAGCGAAGCCCGUGAGCCAUGCGUCAAGAAAAGCCGCUAUCGUUCAUAUUGUACCCGUACCGUAAACCGACACAGGUGGAUGAGGAGAGAAUCCUAAGGCCGGCGGAAGAAGUAUUGCCAAGGAACUCGGCAAAAUGGCCCCGUAACUUAGGGAGAAGGGGUGCCUGCGAGAGCAGGCCGCAGAGAAUAGGCUCAAGCAACUGUUUAGCAAAAACACAGGUCUAUGCGAAACCGAAAGGUGAGGUAUAUGGGCUGACGCCUGCCCGGUGCUGGAAGGUUAAGAGGAGAGGUUAGACGUAAGUCGAAGCUUUGAAUUUAAGCCCCAGUAAACGGCGGCCGUAACUAUAACGGUCCUAAGGUAGCGAAAUUCCUUGUCGGGUAAGUUCCGACCCGCACGAAAGGCGUAAUGAUUUGAGCGCUGUCUCGGCAAUACAUCCGGUGAAAUUGAAGUGCCAGUGAAGAUGCUGGCUACCCGCGCCAGGACGGAAAGACCCCAUGGAGCUUUACUCCAGUUUGGCACUGGGGUCCGGUGUUGCAUGUACAGGAUAGGUGGGAGGCUGAGAAACGGUAACGUCAGUUGCCGCGGAGCCGCUGUUGGGAUACCACCCUUGUGAUAUUGGGCUUCUAACCAGCCGCCGUAAUCCGGCGGUGGGACAAUGCCAGGCGGGGAGUUUGACUGGGGCGGUCGCCUCCGAAAGGGUAUCGGAGGCGCCCAAAGGUUCCCUCAGAAUGGACGGAAACCAUUCGAAGAGUGCAAAGGCAGAAGGGAGCUUGACUGC
This 2341-nucleotide ribosomal RNA is filed under the name Blautia obeum. RNAcentral describes it as "bacterial LSU rRNA". It matches the Rfam family "Bacterial large subunit ribosomal RNA", at positions 1 to 2376 of the family's 2925-position model. The record is from RNAcentral. Lineage: Bacteria; Bacillati; Bacillota; Clostridia; Lachnospirales; Lachnospiraceae.